This 275-nucleotide ribosomal RNA is filed under the name uncultured bacterium. RNAcentral describes it as "partial 16S ribosomal RNA". It matches the Rfam family "Bacterial small subunit ribosomal RNA", at positions 399 to 691 of the family's 1533-position model. The record is from RNAcentral.
GCGUGGGUGAAGAAGGCCCUAGGGUUGUAAAGCCCUUUCGCCGGUGAAGAUAAUGACGGUAACCGGUAAAGAAGCCCCGGCUAACUUCGUGCCAGCAGCCGCGGUAAUACGAAGGGGGCUAGCGUUGUUCGGAAUCACUGGGCGUAAAGCGCGCGUAGGCGGAUUGCUCAGUCAGGGGUGAAAGCCCGGGGCUCAACCCCGGAACGGCCUCUGAUACUGGCAGUCUUGAGACCGGGAGAGGAGAGUGGAAUUCCCAGUGUAGAGGUGAAAUUCGU